Molecule: long non-coding RNA, 4425 nt
Filed under: Canis lupus familiaris (dog)
Lineage: Eukaryota; Metazoa; Chordata; Mammalia; Carnivora; Canidae
Description: lncRNA (ENSCAFG00845014933.1)
Source: RNAcentral
UUUUUUUUUUUUUGUUUUUUUGGUUUUUUUCCACUAAAGAAAUGAAGAAAUUGAAUGUCAGAGAGGUUAAGCAACUUGCCAAAAUGCUAAUAAGCCUGGCAGUUCAGGUAAGGGAGGUUUCUUCACUUCCAACCCAAUGUAUCCCUGGACCAUCAGUAGUAACAUGAGGCCUGACCAGCACAUUCCACGUUCCUGCACUGUGCCCCAGGAAUUCCAGGAUCUAUAAAUUCAAGUGCUGACCAAAUUUAGGUGACUAUGAGUUCUGAUGAUCUCACCAGUUGCAAAGUACUGAAAUAUAUCUCGUUCCAUUCAAAUUCUUGCCUUUAUAAUUUAGUUCUUUCUCAGAUUAUGUCACAUGCUACUUACUCACAGAUUUUGAAAUGAGAGUCUAAAAUAAGAUGAAAGGCAGGAAAUUCCAACUUAGAACUGAUUGCUGUCCAGAACCAGGCAUUAAAGUGAAAAGACAAAACCACCUCCUUGAAUAAUGCCUUAUUUUUUACAUUUUCUCCAAUUACUCUCGAGUAAUUUUUAAAAUGUCACAUACAUUUAUGUAUUUAUGUGUUAAAUACAUUAAGGAACAUAGAUUAAAAGGUUAUUUCUAAAAAUCUAAAGAUUUACUUAUCUAGAAUUCUUACAGUAUCCAAUCUGAGUCUUCAAAUUAGCUCCUUUAUGAUUUUUUUCUAUUACAAUUUUUAAACAUUUUUCUCUACCAAAAGAAUAUUCAAAUUGCUCUCUAUGGUUUUAAAAUAAAUGUUUUGGGGAUCCCUGGGUGGCUCAGCGGUGUAGCACCUGCUUUUGACCCCGGGCGUGAUCCUGGAGUCCCGGGAUCGAGUCCCGCAUCGGGCUCCCGGCAUGAAGCCUGCUUCUCCCUCCUCCUGUGUCUCUGCCUCUCUCUCUCUCUCUCUCUCUCUCUCUCUCUGUCUAUCAUAAAUAAAUAAAUAAAUCUUUAAAAAAUAAAAAAAUAAAAAAAUGAAAAUAAAAUAAAUGUUUUAUGUUAAUAUAAUCAAAAUAAUCUUUACACUAUAUUUAUAAUAAAACUGAUACCAAAGAUCUUACUAACCAAAAAAAAAAAAAAAAUCUUAUUGACCAACAAAUGUCUAAUCUGAAUAGCUAAAAUCUCCAUAUUCAUAAUCUUACUUCAAUUACUAUUCAGUUACCUAGAAUUUAUUAAAGCAUCACAGAAUGUAUUUUAUAGGUAUUUUACUUGUAUUUCCUCCUCUCAAAAAUGAUUCUAAUUUUGUGCACUGGUUCUCUAAAAUAAUUUACUUCUUAGCAAAUAUUAUCUUGGAACAAACUGAAGUAUUUAGGGAGUAAUGAUAUGACAUUACGGAUCCUCUGUAAAAUAUUCCACUUACCCUCAAAAGGGUGAGGGAGGGGGAUGAUAGAUAAAACAAGAAUGUCUAAAUGUCGAUAAUAGAGGAGUACAUUCAAGUUCAUAAUACUGUUCCAGUUUUAUGUAUAUUUGAAAAUUUCCAUAAGUUUUUUAGGCCUCCCACCAUUAAAGACACAGAGAGAAGUCACUACCUAUGAACCAAGGAAGAGGGUCUUCAUCAAACCAUACUGUCACUGUAAUCUCAGAUUGUCAGCCUCCAGAACUGUGAGAAUUAAAUUUGGGGGUUUUUAAGAUAUAUUUAUUAGAGAGAGAGAAAGCAUGAAUGGGAGGGACAGAGGAAGAGGGAAAGAGAAUCUCCUGCAGAUUCCAUGCUUAGUGCAGAGCCCCAAGUGGGACUCGAUUCCACUACCCUGAGACCAUGAUCCCAACCGAAACCAAUAGUCAGACACUCAACUGACUGCACCACUCAAGCAUCCCAUCCCUGUUGUUUUGCUAAGUUUUUUAAAAUCUCAUAUAUUGGUUCUUACCAGGGGCCAGGCAAAAUUAUAAGCACUUUACCUAUAUAAACUCAUUUAACCCUCCAACAACUCUAUGAGAUAGGUACUCAUUUUACAGAUAAAGAAACUGAGGGGGCAGCCCGGGUGGCACAGUGGUUUAGCGCCGCCUGCAGCCCAGGGCAUGAUCCUGGAGACCUGGGAUGGAGUCCCACGUCUGGCUCCCUGCAUGAAGCCUGCUUCUCCCUCUGCCUGUGUCUCUGCCUCUCUCUCUGUGUGUGUCUCUAUGAAAAAAAUAAAUAAAAUCUUAAAAAAAAAAAAAAAACUGAGGCAUGGAAAGUUAGGUAGAUCAUAAAGUAAGCUGAAAUUCAAAUCCAGAUUUUCUGGGUACAUGUGGACAUGGAAAAGCCUGGAAAAUACAUGUUAUGGGUGAUUUUUAUUUUUGCUUGUUUCUAUUUUCUAAGUUUUUCACAAGAACAUGUGUUUUUAUAAUUUUGAAUAGUUACCAAAACAUUUAUUCAGAUGCUAACAUGUUCUUGAGAAGCAAAAGGUAUGACUUUCUGAAACCAAAUUACUGCAAGUAUAGAAAUUCAUCACUAACAAGUGUCAUACAGUGAUCAACAAACUAGGAAAAUUUUAGAAAUGAUAAAAGAUUACUUUGUUAUUAGCCAUUUUACCAGUGCUUUAUGGAAAGAAUAAUAUUGAAACAAGGUCAUGUAAUUUAACUAGAUAGAUACAAUUAACUUUAGACCACUUAAAACCUUCUUCCAUUUUUAAAGAGAAACAUAACUAUUAUAAUUUUCCAAUUUAGACUCCUGGGAAAUUUUACACCAAAAUAAAAGCUCUCAUUCUUCAAAAGAAUUAUAUUUGAUUACACAUAAAUAGGCUUAGAAGUUAAAUGCCAACAUUUGUCUUGAUUGCUGCUAACAGACCAUUCAACCUCAUUUCUUAUUUUCCAUGAAAACAAAAUUAUUAAGAGUUACAGUUCAGUUAUUUUAACUUGCAUUCUUAGUACUUAUGCUGAAGAGCAAUGAGCAAAGGAAUUUUUUACAGGAAGAUAGUAAAUUUUGCAGCUAUUAACUAAGUCAAUGGUAGCCCAAGAUGGGCAUGGAGACUAUAUUCCAGUCCUGAAUGGAUGAAUACAAUCACAAAAACAAGAUCACACUGCUGGAAUCAUUCAGAAAUAAAACAGUGCAGUGUGAAGCAAUAUCAUGUUUUUUGCAAACCCUAAGACUGUCCAUCAUGAAGAUGAACAAACGUCUUUAAUCCAAUUAUGCUUACAGUCUUGUACACUUCUAUCAUCAUCAUGACAGAGCAACCUGACAUAGAGACCGAAGUACAUGGGGCUCAGGGUCAGUGCAAAGGGAACAAAGAACAAAGCCUAGACAAAUCCUGGCAGCACCAACCAUUAAAAUCUAUGAUAAUCACUUACUACCUCAGAGCCUGUUUCCUUUUUGGUUAAAUAUAGGGACACCUGCCUCACAAGUGGUUAGAGUAACAUUAUGAGUGUGCCUGAAAGCCAAGAGGAUCUUGACAUAGUAGAUACUCUAAAAAUAUGUCCCCUCCCUCCCUUGAUACCAUGUGGGAUGGUCAAGGGAGGUGAAUGAUGGAAGAAAACUUGAGUUUUAGUUAUUUUUUUUAUUUUUUUUAAAUUUUUUUAAUUUAAUUAUUCAUAGAGACACAGAGAGAGAGAGGCAGAGACACAGGCAGAGGGAGAAGCAGGCUCCAUGCAGAAGCCCAACGUGGGACUCGAUCAGGGUCUCCAGGAUCAUGACCCUGGCCGAAGGCAGCGCUAAACCACUGGGCCACCGGGGCUGCCCUUGAGUUUUAGUUGUAAGUAGGUUUUCCCUGAUCAAAGACCAGUGGGAUCUUGUAUGUAAGUCGCCAGCCUCAAAGUCAGAAACUAUAUGAGAUUCCCACUCAAAAUAUAGCUGAAUUUUAACAUACCUGCUGAAAACCUUUCAAUAGCUUCCCACUACACUUUGUAAUAAAAUAAAAACUUCUUAGAAAUAGUGAAAUGGACCAUAAGGGAAAGGAGGAAAACUGAGUGGAGAAAAAUUAGAGAGGAAGACAAACCAUGAGAGAUUCCUGGCUCUGGAAACAAAUAAAGGGUUGCAGCAGAAGGGGAGGUUGGUGGGGAGAUGAAGUGACUGGAUGACGAGUAUUAAGGAGAACACAUGAUGAGAUUAGCACUGGGUGUUAUACUAUAUGUUGGCAAAUUGAAUUUAAAUAUUUAAAAAAAAAAAAAAAAAAACUUCUUAGCAUGGCCAAAAGGUCCUACAUGAUUUGGUCUUACAACUCACCCUUAGUCAGGAAGCUUUAACCACAAUGAGCCCAAUGUGUUCCAUGAACCCCCCAAGCUCUUUCCAGCUCCAGGUCUGGAACUCUCAGGACCCUCAGCCUCAAGCAUCCUUGCCUUCUUGUUCAAACAGCUGACUCUUUAUGUCCUCCAUGUCUUCCCUUGAGCCUUCCCUAUACCAUUGCAUCAAGUAGCUCCCAACCGACUACCCCCAGUGACCCAUUACUUUCCUUCACAGCUUUAUAACAAUUUCAAAUGAUCAUCAUUUACUUAUUUCUGCUGCCCCUCUCUGCCUCCCA